This 154-nucleotide unclassified non-coding RNA is filed under the name uncultured Pleosporales. Its description in RNAcentral is "sequence contains ITS2". The record is from RNAcentral. Lineage: Eukaryota; Fungi; Ascomycota; Dothideomycetes; Pleosporales.
ACACCCUCAAGCUACGCUUGGUGUUGGGCGUCUGUCCCCGCUUCUCGCGAGGACUCGCCCCAAAUCCAUUGGCAGCGGCAUCGCCGGCUUCUCGCGCAGCACAUUGCGCUUCGGAAGGCUCCCGGCGUUCUCGCAUCCAGCAAGAACCCCCCCA